CACAGGAAGUUCCUGUUUUUUAUGCUAAUUUUGGUCACGUGACCAGGAAGUGACGAUUUUAGAUUUUCAGUGAACCACGCGGGCUUCUGCCAUCUUACUGAUAAUUCAAGAUGGCGGCACGCAUCGCAUCUCAGUGAGACCACAGCCGCACUUGUCCAUUGUGGGAGCUUAAGAAGCAUUGUCUUUUUACCUUGUUACAAUCAAUAAAUGAUGAUUGAAGUUGGACGUUCAUCCUGGCUCCGAGGGUUUAUUGAACGCAAGGUUAUCUACUCGACUAGCGGUGCAACGCAGCGCACAGCGAGGCCGAGAUACCUACAAAGACACUGUUCUAAGAUCAAACAUCUGUCUUCUCUCGGCAUUAAUCAACAUCGACAAGACAAAUCGUUUCUGUGUUAUUGUUUUCCAUAUUUCAUGGUCCUUUUCAUUUUGAAUGCCCGGCCCUGGCCCAUACCAGCCUCACCCCCUCGUCCUCUCCCCACCGUCGCAAGAACAACAAAAAAAACGCCCAACGCUCAGCGUAUGCUGAAGGAACAGUCGAGCGUUUCUGAGUCUCCGACUCGCUCUUAAAAGGCGCAGUAUUUGACGAGCGCCAACUGCUUGUAGCGCUCUUUCUACCCACAAUACCACCGGCUCACAACAUCCCGCAUCACAGAUUAUCACGGUUGGCUACGUACGGUACAAAAAAAGUUAAACAUACAUGCAUACACUGCGGUAAACGUCAUCUCUUCACCAGUGUUUUUAUACGGGGUGGGGUCGGGUGAGAGGUUGACGUGGGGUAAAAGGCCUUUUCUGUCUUGGUGCGAACGGAAAUGACAUCAGUGAUGAUGAGGAUGAGGAGGGCACCUGCGGCUGCUCUAGAGGGGGGCACCAGCCUAGAGGAGGACACCUGCUGCCACUACUGCUGCUGCCGCUGGUUACUAAAGGUCCACAGAUGAACCACGCAUGGCAAUUGUCUUCAACUGGCUCUGUGGCUGCCCGGGCACACUUCAAUUGGCUAAGGAGUAGUUUGUUGUUUAUGUACGGUGUGAAAGAAGUUCAACAUGCGUACAUACACAUCAAAGUGAAUGGCCAUAAACAGCCAGUAACUCUCCAAUUGGCUGCCGAGUAGAAAGUGGGUGCCGAGGAAACGCAAAGAGGCAGUGACGUUGGCACGGGGCACUCUUUCUCUUCUACUCUCAACUUCGCGCUUCAUCUUCCUACGCGGUGUUCCGUCUCUUUGGGGUGAAAUAAAUAAACCUGCAAAGA
Lethenteron reissneri (Far Eastern brook lamprey) is the source of this 1245-nucleotide long non-coding RNA. RefSeq lists it as uncharacterized. The record is from RefSeq and is a predicted model, not a curated record. Lineage: Eukaryota; Metazoa; Chordata; Hyperoartia; Petromyzontiformes; Petromyzontidae.